RNAcentral lists this ribosomal RNA (732 nucleotides) under uncultured bacterium. Its description in RNAcentral is "bacterial SSU rRNA". It matches the Rfam family "Bacterial small subunit ribosomal RNA", at positions 57 to 794 of the family's 1533-position model. The record is from RNAcentral.
GCAGUCGAACGGGAUCAGAUCAAGCUUGCUUUGGUUUGGUGAGAGUGGCGCACGGGUGCGUAACGCGUGAGCAACCUACCCUUGUCAGGGGGAUAGCCCGGCGAAAGUCGGAUUAAUACCGCAUGACAUCAUUGAGAGGCAUCUUUCGAUGAUCAAAGAUUUAUCGGACAAGGAUGGGCUCGCGUGACAUUAGCUAGUUGGUAAGGUAACGGCUUACCAAGGCUACGAUGUCUAGGGGCUCUGAGAGGAGAAUCCCCCACACUGGUACUGAGACACGGACCAGACUCCUACGGGAGGCAGCAGUAAGGAAUAUUGGUCAAUGGACGGAAGUCUGAACCAGCCAUGCCGCGUGCAGGAGGACGGCCCUAUGGGUUGUAAACUGCUUUUAUACGGGAACAAACGUCGGUACGUGUACCGGUCUGAGUGUACCGUAAGAAUAAGGAUCGGCUAACUCCGUGCCAGCAGCCGCGGUAAUACGGAGGAUCCGAGCGUUAUCCGGAAUUAUUGGGUUUAAAGGGUGCGUAGGCGGCCAGAUAAGUCAGGGGUGAAAGUCGGCAGCUCAACUGUCGCAGUGCCUUUGAUACUGUUUGGCUUGAAUUCGGUUGAAGAUGGCGGAAUGAGACAAGUAGCGGUGAAUGCAUAGAUAUGUCUCAGACCCCGAUUGCGAAGCACUAUCUAAUCGUUAUUGAGCUGAUGCACGAAACGUGGGAGCAACAGAUAGAUACCUGUAGU